Long non-coding RNA from Anguilla anguilla (European eel), 6812 nucleotides. RefSeq lists it as uncharacterized. The transcript is spliced from 2 exons. The record is from RefSeq and is a predicted model, not a curated record. NCBI's taxonomy places the organism in Eukaryota, Metazoa, Chordata, Actinopteri, Anguilliformes, Anguillidae.
UUCUGCUACAACUUGAGCACAACGUUGCAUUUUCCUAUUCUAUAUUCAUAUGUUCCCAAGUAGCCAUAUAGUAGCCUUUUCAGUUACACUAUGACUGUAACCAGGGGCGCAGAUGGCGGGGGGGACGGGGGGGUACGUCCCCCCCAGUUUCAUAGGGACCCCUAUCCGUCCCCCCAGAUUGGGGUAGUUGUAUAAGCUUAAAAGUUGAGACCAUUCUUUUGCUCACAGUUUGGUCCCCCCCACUUCAAAAAUCUCUCCUGCGCCCCUGACUGUAAGCUUUCUAAAGUAUUGGGAUGUGCUUUCUACUGUAUUGUCCCUUGUGGUAAAAACCUUGCUAAAUUUAAGUGUCACAUACUGCUUUGGUGUAGUAGUGAGACAAAACUUUUUUCUAGCAGUGUUUUCAUUCUGUGACCCAGUCUGUGUACACUUAUCCUGUGGUCUUGACCUCAUCAUCGGAUGUUACACUCUAUGUUCCUUUAGUUCCCCUUUGAAACCAUUUCACCCUCACUGAAUGCUUAGAAGCAGUGAACCGAUAAUAUUAACCGCAGUCUGUUAAUAAUUCAUCCUCAUUUACACUAUUCUACAUCAUGCAGUAUGUAUAAUGGCAGUGUCAAAAAAGCAUUUGGCGUAUCUCAGCAAAGUUUUCUCAUUAGGUCAUGACUCCGAAGGUCCCAGCUUUUGUACCUUCCCCAUUUGUUGUGACAUUGAGUUAUUUUUGCUAGUUUGCAGCAGCUGGGUGUUUCGUUCUUUGUGGCUGGUUUGCGGUGGAGCUGCGGCGCUCCCAUACCAUUCAGACCGCAGGGGAGAGCUUAACCCUGCGUAAGCAAUUUUUGGAGCUUGCUUUAUUUCCUGGCACGUUCAGGCUGGUUUACGGAGGCUGGCGACUCUGUUCGAGGUUCAAGCCGUGGUAACUUGGCCUAUCCACCUACAGGUGGUGACUGAGAGUGGACAGAGGACAUGGGCCUUCACAGGAAAAUACAGGUUCUUCUGCUUUCUCACAGAAAAGACUUCCAACUUGGCAGUUGCAGUUGUGAGUUAUACUGCUGUAUCAGACUAACACAUUACAUGAUAUCUACAGUUUGUACAAAAUGCGGUAUUAUUACAUUGCAAAAAGGUUUAUACAGUCACUGACUUAACAGUAAAUGAACUGAUACCGAAGGGAGAUUUCUGAAUGAGAAUGCUAGAGAUGACCUGUUUCAGAGGCCAUGCAUUGGCUGAGGAGGUUUAAGACAGGGAAUGAAACAGUAUUCAUCAACUUAUGUAUUUUUUGUGGUGAUCACUGUGUAUAUAUGGUGAUAUAAUGUUGAUUUUGAGAAAAAAUCAGUAACAAUAUGUUUUUAUCAAUAUUUGUUUCCUUCCAAUGUUUUCUGGCGUAUAUUAGCUUCAUGUGAACUGAAGAUGUUUAGUAAAUAUUUCUCUCAUCAUGUUAACCAGGCACAUCCUGUAAGGUUUGCAAUGCAAAUGUGGUGGAUUAUAUUUUUAGUGUCUCAAGUAAAUUAAAUCCAGCAUUUAAGGACCUGUAUAGCCUCAUUCUUCUCACGUAACAUAAAUAAACACAUAAAUUAUUUUUUAUUAAAUCAUUUGUUUACUUACCAGAAGCCAUGUACAAUAGAAGAAAAAAAAAACAGUUUUCACUUUCACUUGACCAAAAUAAGAUUUACUUGGCUUUCUCAAAUAUUCUUGAGCUGUUCACAGCAGAAUUGCUGUAAUUUUAUCCACUUAAAUGUACUACAACACAUUUAAAAACCCGGUUUAAACCAAUGGAGGUUGCUAUGAGCACAUAAACAUUGACAGGCUGUCUUUGUGCCAGUAAUUAGUAGUUUUUUCCAGUUGAGGACAAAAGAUAUGUGUAGGCAGGCACAGUCUACAUGGCACAGAGUUAGUUGCACUGCAGAGCAGGGAUAUUUUCCUUCAGAGUUUGUUUUAAGGAAUCCUGGGUAGUGGGCUCACUGAUCACAGUUACUGCUUGUGUUAAGACAGGCCAGCUCAGGUUUCCUGUGGUGGGGGCACCCUGCCUGUUCUUGGUUUGUGGUGGUUAGCGAAUGACUGAGGAGAGGUCACAGGGAAGGCAUAAAAUGUGGGUGUUUAAAAUGUCAGCCUGAUAGAAAUGCCCUCAAUGGUUUUUAACUGAAUUAUGGCCAAGGCUAUUGAUUGUAUUGUUGGAAUUGGUGAUGUAGUGGUGAAAAAGAGAUGUGCAAGUCUAACCGGAAUAAAUUUUGUGGACACUAAGAGCAAAAGGUUUUUUCGGGAGCUCUCUGUGGUUCUUUGUGAGUUAUUUGUAGCCACUUAGCUAAUCAUAAACACUUUUAAAUACAAAAAAUAAGCAUAAUGCUUUUAGGAUUUCAACAUGCAUUGCCAAAGAAAGCUUGAUGACUUUUAUGGUGUGCUGAUGCUAAGCCAUGUUUCAUUGCAGUUAAUUUCAUGCAGCAGUUCAUUGCAAUCAUAUUUUAGUUGGAUAAUUCAUACAUUAGGGGUUUACUGUAGAAAUAUAAAUUGGAAAGAAUAAUUACCAUUGUAGCUUUUAGUCAUAUUGUCCAUUGUUUAACCUCCAGAAUUUUUUAAGGCCUUCUUUGAAACUCUGAUGCUCAACUCUGAUGUUCUAUUCAGGAAAGAAAUGAGUCAGUCUUUACAAACGGUAUGACCUUUGUUGGUUUACUAGCAUUAUUGUGGAUUAUGUAUUAAUUGAAGGAUUUAUAAAAGUAUAACAGUUGGAAAAAGUUUUAUAUUAUGGAAGCCAGCUUUUAAUGUUUUGAUGUGAAACUCUCAAACUGCCACUAAUUCCAAGGCUUCCUGAUAUUUUUCAUUACAGGUCCCACGAAUUAUACUCCAUCACAUAUUUUUCUGGUUCACUUGCUUUUGUACUUACAAAAAUCAGUGUGAUGUAUUUAGCUCAACGUCAGUGUUUGUAAAGAGCACAUAUCUGGGCAAAGUCGUACAUUAGUUUCAUUUUGAAUCCUUACCGCUCAUCUGAAACCUUAACUGGCCUUGCAGCUGUGUCCUGUCCUUGAAAAAAUACAAGAAAUGGAAUUUCCCAAUAUGAGUGAAAGUGAAAGUCAAGAUGCAAAGACUAGAAUAUCAGAUUAUAUAGUAUAGUAUAGUAUAGUAUAGCACAAAAUGUUUAGAUAACCCCUAAUAAAUGAUGAUCUCUUACUAUAUUUGGGACAGCAUAACCAGUGAAAUUUGGAAAAUCAAGUUUCAAGCCUUUUAAUGUGUAGAAUUAUACAAGCACAGUGUAGAAAAAAACCGUUAGAUUUCCAAAUUUCCUGUUUGUUUCUGUCAUGGUAAACGUUUAUUUCUGUUUUUUAGUUCCAGGCUUUUUCUACUUUUGUUUUUGUGUCAGACUGAAAAUGAAGAGAUGACAAUAAAUAAAUAACUACAGUGACAAUAAUAGCAAUAUUUAUGGCUUGAAAUGGUUAGCUAACAAGAUUAAAGAGGUUUGCAGUAAAGGUGUAUGAACCCACUGAUUGAUAUGAUGAAUUUCCAACUUGAAUCUGAGAUAAAAAAUAUAUAAAAGUGUAAUGUGUCAUUCAGUGGUUCACAGUCUGGGGUAAUGAAGCAGAAGUUACAGUCAAAUGUGUUGAUCAGAACACCUGCACAGACAUUGUCUUUCAGUGAUGGCAUCUUCUCACAUAUGCUGACUCUACUGGCAAUGUAGAUGGGUGUGCCCUGUGUGAAUGAAAAACACUUCAUGCAUGUACCUCUGUGACAGAUACAGUAGUUUUAUUCAUUUAUUUCCUGGUAAUCUGCUGGAUGGCAGAGAUCUCAUACUGUGUGUUGUCAUGUGAGCCUAUGAUGAUGUUGGCCAUCUCCCAACUCAGACUGCACCUCAGCUCCUCCUGCAAGCCUUCUCUAGAAUUUUAACCUAGCCUUAACAACAAAUUUGCUGUCAGCCAUUUUUGGUUCACACCCUGCGGUUCCUUGCUCUUGUUUAUAUAAUUAGGAUUGCAAUGGCAGGUAUGCCAUUCUGCAGAGUUACGACUUGGUGCCUCAUUUCUAAAUUAAUGUUAGCUAUCCCUAUAGAUCCUCUACCGACAUACAAAUGAUUAGUAGGUCUGUCUAGUACAAUAAUUAAAAACACUUACAUUUAAAAUCAUGACAUAUACUUUCAUUUAUUUUUGGUAAAGGAAAAAUAAUUGAAUCCAUGCCUGUGUGUUUCUUACAGAAUGCAGGCUAUUUGCUUGCAUUCAUGUUUUUGCAUGUUUGGCAUAGCCUACAUUUAUAUAUGAAUUACUGUAAUCACUUACUCAUAAUAAAACACAGUACAAAAUGAAAUGAUAUCUAAUUUAAAAAAAACACACAUUUAAAACAUACAAAAAUGCCAAGUUACGAACAUAUAGCCUACAAAGCACUAUAUAAGCUCUAUAAGUCAUUCAUUCAGAUCUAGGCCUGCCAUUAAAAGUAUUGAUAUGAAAAUUGCACCGAGUUACAUUAAACAAUAUUUGCUAUCUUAGCUCACAGAAAUUAAACAAGGUGUAUUCCAAAGCAUUGCAACCCAACGUUUCCUAAAUUGUUUCAAGUAACUGUUUAAUACUCAAUAGAUUCUGUUUAAUACUCAAUAGGAUACUUUUGUUUUUGUUUUAAUAUCUUAAUUAAAUUUAGUUUUCAAUAAACUAGAGGACUAGACAUUUCCUCUCUAGGGAAUUACUGCACAGAGAUCCCUGAUUUUUGCACUUGUGUUUGCAUGGUAAGUAACACUGGAUAGGAGAAUCAGCUAAAUGGUGGUGAAAAGUAAAGUAACCUUCAUACCGUGCCUCAAGGAUAACCCACAAAUUUGCACACUGCUAUGCUAAAUUCAGGCCUAAAUUUGCAAACUGCUACACUGGACUCAAAAACACAACAUAAAGCUCAGCAUUGUGGAAAGUGUGUACUUUGUGGUCAGAACAUCAAGAAGCUUCAUGAAACAGCCCUUCAAACUGAGGCUAAUCAAUAAUCUCUUCAAAGUGGCUUCAAAAUUUCACCAUCUAUUCCUGCCUGCAUUUCAUAUGAGGGCCAUGGGCCUCUGGGUCCCUGACGGGGGAUCUGAAACGCUGGGGCGAUGGAGAGCGCAGCGAGACACACGCCCCAUUACUCAGCGUCGCCCCCUGGAGCUGCCGGAGUGUAUGGACCCAGCAGGGUGACAAAGACUCUUUCUUCUCCUCUGGCUGUGUGGGCUACAUGACUCCCACUCUCUGCAGAGGGUGUGCAGAAGGCCGAGUAGCCGAGAGACUGGCACAGCAAGGGAGGAAGGGCUAGAGUAUGGGGAUACAGUACAUACCCCUGACUCUACAGGGGGAACAGCCAGAUAUCUUUCAUCCCCAGGUACGACUUCAUUUCCAUUUCACACUGUAGCUGUUAAGUGGUAAAGUACAGUCUCAUCUUUCAAAAGUGCAAAACUUCAAAAACUUUCUACCGGCCAAAUGGAGCUAUUAUAAGUGGGAAUUUAAUUAAAGGCAGUACCCAUGAUUCAUAGCUGAUUGAACCAACUAAGUAAAUGUGGACAGGCUUUCAGGAAGUGAGGCAUAUCAUAGGUGCACUUCACUGUUGAGCAGAACAGGUAAGUCGCUAAGUGUAUGGACUCCAAUUGGAUUAUGAAAUGUCAAAUUGGAUUUUUUCAAAAAGCAACUUAAUAUAAUCUAAUUGUUUGAGUAUUGAGUGGAGUAUUAUAUUUCACAGCGACUGGCCUUACCGUAAGCAAGAUAAUGCUAAUAUAUUUUCAUCUUGGCCAUGUGUACAAGCCUGUGACCACAAACCAACACGACGGGAUGAAGUCAACUUAACACCAUUUAACUCAACAGGGAAAAGGCGACGGGGCUAAUGCAGACUUUAGAUUGAUCAUUUCCAGGGAUCUCCUUCUUGGAUCUUCUGGAGCCUCAUAUUACCGGAUGCUGUUUGGUUCACUUGGGGUGGUGGGGACACCCAAGAUGAGAGACAUUGCUCUUUUUCCAACCGCGCACCACCACACAUUCCAGAAGUUUUUGGGAUGGCCUAGGAAGGAGAGCAGGUACGCUGGUGGUAAUGGGACACCUGCACCUUUUCUUGAGAGCUAAUCCUGUUUUUUUUUUGUUUUUUUUGCUGGCCCCAACAGGUGUUCCUGGGCGGAGCCACAUGUCGAGCCUGUUUCCUGGCGACAGAACAGGAUGCAUAUUGUGGGAGGGAGGAAAUGCCUGAGCCUGGUGGACACAGAGGAGUUUGGAACAGUCUGUUAUGCCACUGAGAUCACCAGUGUUCCACCCACACCCACACAAGGAUCACUGCAUCUGGAGCCUCUGCACUCCGCCCAUGCAACUGCGCAGACAGUACUGUCCAGGGAAAAUGCACUGCAGACAAGCCAGUUGUGUUCAGUUUGCUGCUGACUAAGGCUGAGCCUCAAGUCUGUGAUUUCUGAGCUAUAGGUACAUACACUGAGCACCUUUACAGACUGCACCGCUCAUGAGUGCUUGCAAUUUUUCUACGUUUUGUUGAAUACUGAGGACCUCAUUGAAUGUGCGAAUGAAUAGUGUUCUGUUUACAAGUGUCAGCUGAACUUGUGGUUUCCUGUCUCUAUGUAUCUGCAGUUUUUUUUUCCCAGUGCCCUAAUGUGGGUUCAUGUCUGUUUUACUUAUUCAAGUCAGUUAUAUCCCUAGGCUGUUGACGCAACUAUACUGGAUUUCACAAACAGCACACAAUUCACAAUGAAAAACUUUUGAAUUACAAAUGGAGGCCAGAAUAAAGUUGUAAAUGUUUUAAUGUCUUAAAGUGUAAAUGUUUUAAUGUUUAAUGUAUGAACAAAAAGUAAAACUGGUUCUUGCUGCUUAUCAUGAUGAUUUCCAAUAAAAUACAUCCUGUUUUCUUAU